GAGGAAUAUUGGUCAAUGGACGAAAGUCUGAACCAGCCAAGUAGCGUGCAGGAUGACGGCCCUCUGGGUUGUAAACUGCUUUUAGUUGGGAAUAAAAAAGAGGACGUGUCCUCUAUUGUAUGUACCUUCAGAAAAAGGACCGGCUAAUUCCGUGCCAGCAGCCGCGGUAAUACGGAAGGUCCAGGCGUUAUCCGGAUUUAUUGGGUUUAAAGGGAGCGUAGGCGGAUUAUUAAGUCAGUGGUGAAAGACGGUGGCUCAACCAUCGUUAGCCAUUGAAACUGGUAGUCUUGAGUGCAGACAGGGAUGCUGGAACUCGUGGUGUAGCGGUGAAAUGCUUAGAUAUCACGAUGAACUCCGAUCGCGAAGGCAGGUGUCCGGGCUGCAACUGACGCUGAGGCUCGAAAGUGUGGGUAUCAAACAGGAUUAGAUACCCUGGUAGUCCACACAGUAAACGAUGUAUACUCGCGGUUUGCGAUAUAUUGUAAGCCGCCAAGCGAAAGCAUUAAGUAUACCACCUGGGGAGUACGCCGGCAACGGUG
Molecule: ribosomal RNA, 539 nt
Filed under: uncultured bacterium
Lineage: Bacteria
Description: bacterial SSU rRNA
Rfam family: Bacterial small subunit ribosomal RNA
Source: RNAcentral